UGGGGAAUUUUCCGCAAUGGGCGAAAGCCUGACGGAGCAAUGCCGCGUGGAGGUGGAAGGCCUACGGGUCGUCAACUUCUUUCCUCGGAGAAGAACAAUGACGGUAUCUGAGGAAUAAGCAUCGGCUAACUCUGCGCCAG
Molecule: ribosomal RNA, 140 nt
Filed under: uncultured bacterium
Lineage: Bacteria
Description: partial 16S rRNA
Rfam family: Bacterial small subunit ribosomal RNA
Source: RNAcentral